CCAAUAGCGUAUAUUAAAGUUGUUGCAGUUAAAAAGCUCGUAGUUGAACUUCGGGGUUCACCCAUUGGUCAGGCUUAAUUGUCUGCACUGGUGAGAUGAAUCUCUACCUUCUGAGGAACUUUCAUGUCAUUAAUUUGGUGUGAUUGGAAAUCAGGAUUGUUACUUUGAAAAAAUUAGAGUGUUUAAAGCAGGCUAACGUCUGAAUACAUUAGCAUGGAAUAAUGAAAUAGGACGGACUGAUUCUAUUUCGUUGGUUUCUAGGAUCACCGUAAUGAUUAAUAGGGAUAGUUGGGGGCAUUAGUAUUCAAUUGUCAGAGGUGAAAUUCUUGGAUUUAUUGAAGACUAACUACUGCGAAAGCAUUUGCCAAGGAUGUUUUCAUUAAUCAAGAACGAAAGUUAGGGGAUCGAAGACGAUCAGAUACCGUCGUAGUCUUAACCAUAAACUAUGCCGACUAGGGAUCGGACGAAGUUAAUUUUAUAAUGACGCGUUCGGCACCUUACG
Molecule: unclassified non-coding RNA, 502 nt
Filed under: uncultured Diversispora
Lineage: Eukaryota; Fungi; Glomeromycota; Glomeromycetes; Diversisporales; Diversisporaceae
Description: SSU rRNA
Rfam family: Eukaryotic small subunit ribosomal RNA
Source: RNAcentral